AUUGAACGCUGGCGGCAGGCCUAAGACAUGCAAGUCGAACGCAGUAGCAAUACUGAGUGGCAAACGGGUGAGUAUAAUGUGGGAAUCUACCUUUGGUUGGAAUACACGGGGAAACUUGUGCUAAUACCGAAUAAGCCCUUACGGGGAAAGUUUUAACGCCGAAAGAUGAGCCUGCACUUGAUUAGCUUGUUGGUGAGGUAAAGGCUCACCAAGGCGACGAUCUUUAGCUGGUCUGAGAGGACGAUCAGCCACAUUGGGACUGAGACACGGCCCAGACUCCUACGGGAGGCAGCAGUGGGGAAUAUUGGACAAUGGGGGCAACCCUGAUCCAGCCAUGCCGCGUGAGUGAAGAAGGCCCUAGGGUCGUAAAGCUCUUUCGCCUGUGAUGAUAAUGACAGUAGCAGGUAAAGAAACCCCGGCUAACUCCGUG
This 430-nucleotide ribosomal RNA is filed under the name uncultured bacterium. Its description in RNAcentral is "bacterial SSU rRNA". It matches the Rfam family "Bacterial small subunit ribosomal RNA", at positions 30 to 507 of the family's 1533-position model. The record is from RNAcentral.